RNAcentral lists this ribosomal RNA (473 nucleotides) under uncultured organism. Its description in RNAcentral is "partial 16S ribosomal RNA". It matches the Rfam family "Bacterial small subunit ribosomal RNA", at positions 332 to 802 of the family's 1533-position model. The record is from RNAcentral.
UACACUCCUACGGGAGGCAGCAGUGAGGAAUAUUGGACAAUGGGUGGAAGCCUGAUCCAGCCAUCCCGCGUGCAGGAAGACGGCCCUAUGGGUUGUAAACUGCUUUUAUCUGGGGAUAAACCUACUUACGUGUAAGUAGCUGAAGGUACCAGAAGAAUAAGCACCGGCUAACUCCGUGCCAGCAGCCGCGGUAAUACGGAGGGUGCAAGCGUUAUCCGGAUUUAUUGGGUUUAAAGGGUCCGUAGGCGGACUGAUAAGUCAGUGGUGAAAUCCGACAGCUUAACUGUCGAACUGCCAUUGAUACUGUUAGUCUUGAGUAAGGUUGAAGUGGCUGGAAUAAGUAGUGUAGCGGUGAAAUGCAUAGAUAUUACUUAGAACACCAAUUGCGAAGGCAGGUCACUAAGUCUUAACUGACGCUGAUGGACGAAAGCGUGGGGAGCGAACAGGAGGAGAUACCCGUGUAGUCCCAGGAU